AAUCUUUCAAUUACUGCAAUCACCAGUAGUGCGUUCAAAUCGGUUCUCUUGGUAAAAACUUUGUUUUGGUCAGACCGUAACUUAAUCACGUUUACUUUUGGUGUAUUCUCUGGCGGUAAUGGACAUUUUGUUCAAAAAGGACGUUAUCACAGGGCCUACGAAGGAGUGAGCAGCCAGCGUGACACCCCGACUUCCUCUCUAUGCACGUAAUUGUUCUUCUAAGUCGUAUAAGAACUGGGUCGUCUGAAGAUCCGUUACUCGGGGUUCCGAAGCUCCAAUUUGAUCGACUCCGAUUGAUUUUCCCUUCCUAGUUUCGAUAUCAAUCAGCGAACACGUGCCUCGC
Molecule: long non-coding RNA, 343 nt
Organism: Cimex lectularius (bed bug)
Lineage: Eukaryota; Metazoa; Arthropoda; Insecta; Hemiptera; Cimicidae
Exons: 2
Source: RefSeq, a predicted model, not a curated record